Molecule: ribosomal RNA, 292 nt
Filed under: uncultured bacterium
Lineage: Bacteria
Description: partial 16S ribosomal RNA
Rfam family: Bacterial small subunit ribosomal RNA
Source: RNAcentral
GUGCCAGCCGCCGCGGUAAUACGUAGGGGGCAAGCGUUGUCCGGAUUUAUUGGGCGUAAAGAGCGUGUAGGCGGCCAGAUAGGUCCGUUGUGAAAACUCGAGGCUCAACCUCGAGACGCAGAUGGAAACCAUCUGGCUAGAGUCCGGAGGAGGAGAGUGGAAUUCUCGGUGUAGCGGUGAAAUGCGCAGAUAUCGGGAAGAACACCCGUGGCUAAGGCGGCACUCUAGUACGGUACUGACGCUGAGACGCGAAAGCGUGGGGAGCGAACAGGAUUAGAUACCCUAGUAGUCC